UACGGAAGGCAGCAGUGGGGAAUAUUGCACAAUGGGCGCAAGCCUGAUGCAGCCAUGCCGCGUGUAUGAAGAAGGCCUUCGGGUUGUAAAGUACUUUCAGUCGUGAGGAAGGUGUUAAGGUUAAUAACCUUAGCAAUUGACGUUAGCGACAGAAGAAGCACCGGCUAACUCCGUGCCAGCAGCCGCGGUAAUACGGAGGGUGCGAGCGUUAAUCGGAAUUACUGGGCGUAAAGGGCACGCAGGCGGUUAAUUAAGUUGGAUGUGAAAUCCCCGGGCUUAACCUGGGAAUGGCAUUCAAGACUGGUUAGCUAGAGUCUUGUAGAGGGGGUAGAAUUCCAUGUGUAGCGGUGAAAUGCGUAGAGAUGUGGAGGAAUACCGGUGGCGAAGGCGGCCCCUGGACAAGACUGACGCUCAUGUGCGAAGCGUGGGGAGCAAACAGGGAUUAGAUACC
RNAcentral lists this ribosomal RNA (451 nucleotides) under uncultured bacterium. Its description in RNAcentral is "bacterial SSU rRNA". It matches the Rfam family "Bacterial small subunit ribosomal RNA", at positions 340 to 786 of the family's 1533-position model. The record is from RNAcentral.